This 353-nucleotide small RNA is filed under the name Pan troglodytes (chimpanzee). RNAcentral's name for it is "retained intron". The record is from RNAcentral. Lineage: Eukaryota; Metazoa; Chordata; Mammalia; Primates; Hominidae.
CUGCUGCAGGAGCAGGGCUGGCAGCGGCUGGAGGAGCUCCGGGACCAGCAGCGCUCCCAGGCCCUGGUCGACCUGCACCGCAGCUUCCACACCUGCAUCUCCCGCCAGCGCGUCCUGCCCCGGAUGCAGGCUCGCAUGCGUGGGUUCCAGGCCAGCCUGUCUUCACGCAUUCCUCCAACAGCUGUUGGCUGACCGUCUGCCUCAUCUACCCCUGGGCCAGAUGCUGGCGACAGAGCUGGGGAUGCCAGAGACGGGGCCUCCCAGGCUGGUUGGGGAGUCAGAUUCAGAUGGUAAAGCAGCCAGUGAUCUUCCCAGAGAGUAACUCGAGGGCUGAGAAUAAAGUGAAGACAGUG